GAGGAAUAUUGGGCAAUGCCCGCAAGGGUGACCCAGCAACGCCGCGUGGAGGAUGAAUGUCGUAAGAUUGUAAACUCCUGUUAGAGGGGAAGAAUAGUACCGGUUGGACCGGUAUAUGACUGUACCCUCAGAGAAAGCCCCGGCUAACUACGUGCCAGCAGCCGCGGUAAUACGUAGGGGGCAAGCGUUGUCCGGAUUUACUGGGUGUAAAGGGCGCGCAGGCGGGAUAAAAAGUCAGUGGUGAAAUCCUACAGCUUAACUGUAGAACUGCCUUUGAUACUUUUAUUCUUGGGUUCGGGAGAGAGAGACGGAAUUCCAGGUGUAGUGGUGAAAUACGUAGAUAUCUGGAAGAACACCAGUUGCGAAGGCGGUCUCUUGGUCCGACACUGACGCUGAGGCGCGAAAGCGUGGGGAGCAAACA
This 421-nucleotide ribosomal RNA is filed under the name uncultured bacterium. RNAcentral describes it as "bacterial SSU rRNA". It matches the Rfam family "Bacterial small subunit ribosomal RNA", at positions 356 to 774 of the family's 1533-position model. The record is from RNAcentral.